GCAACCUUACCAAGUUACUUCAUGAACUAAGUCACAGAACAAACAACAAGCAACCUUAAUAGGCAAUAUUCGAGCAGGAAUGUAGCCUACGUCACAUGAUUGCAGAAAAAAGAGAUUGAUCCCUUCCCAACAAAAAAAGGAAUAACUGACCACAGUCAAAGACAAGGAUUAAACAACAAUCUUUGACCGAAGACGGCUUUUUCCGAAUGAAGAAGGUUAAAACUUGGUAAAUCUGCACAUGGACAUAAAUUAAAAAUUGUCAAGAUAACGAGACCACCCUUCAUCGUCUUUCCAAAUGAAGAAAGUUAAAAAUUCUGAAAAUAGAACAAAGAAACUUACAUGUUUGGGGAGCGAGAUGGAGAAGGAUGGCGGAAUGUAACCGUCUUCGAAAACGUGAAAGUUCGACGGAGAUGGCAAUUAACGAAAUAAUGAUCCCAGCAACAAUCGUAUCUUCGUUGUAGUGCCACCUGCCUAGGAAAAUUGUCGCCGGAAUCGAAUCUUUGUUCGAAUGGUUGAGAGCUUCACUUUCCUUAUGUGAGUGUAUUCUCCAAUUA
This 554-nucleotide long non-coding RNA is filed under the name Olea europaea subsp. europaea. Lineage: Eukaryota; Viridiplantae; Streptophyta; Magnoliopsida; Lamiales; Oleaceae. The record is from RNAcentral.